AUCUUAAACAAAUAAUAAAUCGUAAAGAUGAUUCCAGUGAAUGUUAGAGCUUAUUAAUGAUGAUUGAUUACAUACAUUUGUAAUUUGUGCGAUUUGUACAAGAUAUAUAUACUUAAACCAAACGUUUUGUAAUCUUUUCAAAUUUUUUCAGAUGCUAUCGAUAUAAUCAAGACAGUUGAAUCUCAUUACAGUAUUGAUGAAAUUUCAAAAUGUUUUAUAAAAAAUUUCUUUAAUGAGCUACUGUUUUAAUCUUAUCGUGUAAAACAAAAUUGUUUACAUAAUUAUUACAAUAAUUGCCGGGUUUUUUUCUUGUCUGUAUAUAUUUCCCGUUGUACGCUGUCCAUAGACGUACAUUGACGUGUGAGAAACUUAUUAGCGUCUAAACGUAAAAUCUGUUUUCGCUUCAGGUGUUUUUUGUAAAAUGAAAGUUGUACACGUAACGUCAUUUAACGAAAGAGAAUAAAAAUAAAUGUAUUCUAUAUACCGCCGUUCAUUCAUUGUAGCUGGAAGUAAUUGAGCGGAUUCAAUAUUAGCCUGGUCUGGUUAAGAAUAGCCACGAUGGGAAUCCCGUUUGACCACCUUGCGUGCCAGUUGCUUACUGACUAAAUUAGGGUGAAUGUUCCGUUGUGUAAAACUUAUCGUUAUUAUUUCUUUUAUCAAAUAACAAUAUUAAAUUGUCCGAUUUUAUUGUAUUGGUAAUAGAGCUGUAUUAAUAACGUGAACGUGAAAUAUAACCUAAUAAAGUAAUAAAAUUGCAAUCUAUAAAUA
Bombus terrestris (buff-tailed bumblebee) is the source of this 768-nucleotide long non-coding RNA. RefSeq lists it as uncharacterized. NCBI's taxonomy places the organism in Eukaryota, Metazoa, Arthropoda, Insecta, Hymenoptera, Apidae. The record is from RefSeq and is a predicted model, not a curated record. The transcript has 2 exons.